RNAcentral lists this ribosomal RNA (207 nucleotides) under uncultured bacterium. RNAcentral describes it as "partial 16S ribosomal RNA". It matches the Rfam family "Bacterial small subunit ribosomal RNA", at positions 568 to 774 of the family's 1533-position model. The record is from RNAcentral.
UGUGUAGGUGGUUGUUUAAGUUUGGUGUGAAAUCUCCCGGCUCAACUGGGAGGGUGCGCCGAAUACUGAAUGACUAGAGUGCGGGAGAGGAAAGUGGAAUUCCUGGUGUAGCGGUGAAAUGCGUAGAUAUCAGGAGGAACACCGGUGGUGUAGACGGCUUUCUGGACCGUAACUGACGCUGAGACACGAAAGCGUGGGUAGCAAACA